This 355-nucleotide long non-coding RNA is filed under the name Physcomitrium patens. Its description in RNAcentral is "long non-coding RNA (PPAT_LNC009697)". Lineage: Eukaryota; Viridiplantae; Streptophyta; Bryopsida; Funariales; Funariaceae. The record is from RNAcentral.
UAGGGUCUAGGAUUUGAUUAGGAUUUAUUUGAGGUUUAUUUAGAAUUUGAUUAGGAUUUGUCAAGGCUUUGACUAUGGUUUAUUUAGGAUUUUUUUAGAGUUUGUCUAAAAUUUGAUUAGGAUUUGUCUAAGAUUUGAUUGGAGUUGUCUAGGAUUUAUCUAAGGUUUGACUAAGAUUUGUUUAGAGUUGUCUAGGAUUUGACUAGAAUUUGGCUAGGAUUUGUUAAAGAUUUGCUUAAGGUUUGUCCAAGGUUUGAUUUCCAAAGUGAUUUUAUAUAUUCCAAAGAUAGUAAAAUAAUUUUAUAUUAUUUUUACUAAGAUUGUUUGAUUAUUUGUACUAGAUUUGUACUUUUUG